Molecule: ribosomal RNA, 251 nt
Filed under: uncultured bacterium
Lineage: Bacteria
Description: partial 16S ribosomal RNA
Rfam family: Bacterial small subunit ribosomal RNA
Source: RNAcentral
UGGUUGUUGUGGGUGGAAUGUGUGGUGUAGCGGUGAAAUGCUUAGAGAUCACACAGAAUAUCGAUUGCGAAGGCAGCUCACAAAGCCAAGAUUGACGCUGAGGCACGAAAGUGUGGGGAUCAAACAGGAUUAGAUACCCUGGUAGUCCACACUGUAAACGAUGAUAACUCGCUGUCGGCGAUACACAGGCGGUGGCCAAGCGAAAGCGAUAAGUUAUCCACCUGGGGAGUACGACCGCAAGGUUGAAACUC